Molecule: ribosomal RNA, 499 nt
Filed under: Streptococcus sp. SM39
Lineage: Bacteria; Bacillati; Bacillota; Bacilli; Lactobacillales; Streptococcaceae
Description: bacterial SSU rRNA
Rfam family: Bacterial small subunit ribosomal RNA
Source: RNAcentral
UGGCGGCGUGCCUAAUACAUGCAAGUAGAACGCUGAAGGAGGAGCUUGCUUCUCUGGAUGAGUUGCGAACGGGUGAGUAACGCGUAGGUAACCUGCCUGGUAGCGGGGGAUAACUAUUGGAAACGAUAGCUAAUACCGCAUAAUAGCAGUUGUUGCAUGACAGCUGUUUGAAAGGUGCAAUUGCACCACUACCAGAUGGACCUGCGUUGUAUUAGCUAGUUGGUGGGGUAACGGCUCACCAAGGCGACGAUACAUAGCCGACCUGAGAGGGUGAUCGGCCACACUGGGACUGAGACACGGCCCAGACUCCUACGGGAGGCAGCAGUAGGGAAUCUUCGGCAAUGGACGGAAGUCUGACCGAGCAACGCCGCGUGAGUGAAGAAGGUUUUCGGAUCGUAAAGCUCUGUUGUAAGAGAAGAACGAGUGUGAGAGUGGAAAGUUCACACUGUGACGGUAUCUUACCAGAAAGGGACGGCUAACUACGUGCCAGCCGCCGCGG